MicroRNA precursor from Choloepus hoffmanni (Hoffmann's two-fingered sloth), 100 nucleotides. Ensembl annotates it as microRNA 744. Lineage: Eukaryota; Metazoa; Chordata; Mammalia; Pilosa; Megalonychidae. The record is from Ensembl.
GGCUGGGCAAGGUGCGGGGCUAGGGCUAACAGCAGUCUUGCUGACGGUUUCCUGGAGACCACACACAUGCUGUUGCCACUAACCUCAACCUUACUCGGUC